UCCCAUGGCUUGCUUCGUUCCAUUGGGAUGGAAACCCUAAAGGAACGGAGAGAACAGGGUACAAGAAGGCCGGUUUUUCCUAAAUCCAUUGGCACUUCUGCCUUGGACAACUUGGAAGAAGCUUGAAUUGAACCAUCGCACUUAGAAAUACUAUUGGCAAUCCCCUCAACGGAGCUAUCUGGAAAUUUGGGGCACAUUUUGCGAUCGUCCAAUUUGAACACAUCGUAAACUGAAACGGGAAAUCUAACAACAGAGGAGGCGACAUCCUAUAAAAUGCUGUUUGAAGUUGUACUAAUUCCUUAAAGAGGUUCCUGGUAUUGAGGCCAAAUGGAGAUUUACCAUACGUUGGUUGCACGUGCACUAAAUCUCACAUGUCAGCAUGGAAAUCAAGGGCAUGCAGGACACCAAGAUUUUGGGCUUUUACAAUGAAAGUGUUUGGUAUCUCUGAGAUAUAUAUUCUGGCUGGUGUUUUGGAUAGACACAAAGGUGGCAUGGUUCAUUCACGUUAAGCUCUUGCCAGUUUUGACCCAUGGAUUCUUGAAAUUAGAUAAGGCUAAUGCAGAGACUCAGCUUUUGUGAAAUAAAUCUUGGAAGAUAGUGAGGUUUGGAAUUAUUGAGAAGUUGGGAAGCAAGGGGAAAGGCGCGGGUGUUGGUUGGGUUUGUGGAAUUAAGUCUCAACAGUCAACAGAGAAGAAAAGCUUUAAAGAAGAAAAGGAAUCACAUAAAUAAAUGCAUAAAGGAAUUAAUAAAAGGGUCUGAUAUGGGAGGGCACGUUGGAAGAAGAGUAAAAGGUGAAAGGGCUUAAAAAAAAGGAAAGGGAAAGGCAAAGUUAAGCUUGCCCAUGCUCUGAUCUCACACUCUCCCAUCAGCUUUUCGUUUGAUGUGAACUUUUGUGGGGUUGAUCAAAUUAUUAUAGGUCUUCCCUCAUGGAAUGGCAGCUUGUUAAUCUUAAUUAUCUUAUCAAUUAUUCUCUCUCUCUCUCUCUCUCUCUCUCUCUCUGGUCAUCUUCAGCUCUUUAGCUUUUGUUUUGUUCUCUGGGAGGUUUCCGAGCCUAAGAAAUACUCCUUAAAGAUUUGAUAUUUAUUUUUAAAACUUUUGUUCAAUAAAGCAGCAGUUAUGUUAAAUU
This is a long non-coding RNA of Malania oleifera, 1126 nucleotides long. RefSeq lists it as uncharacterized. The transcript has 5 exons. The record is from RefSeq and is a predicted model, not a curated record. Lineage: Eukaryota; Viridiplantae; Streptophyta; Magnoliopsida; Santalales; Ximeniaceae.